CUGAAAAAUUAGAUUAAAGGGUGUUUGAAAUUGCCUGAUGUUUUGUCUAUGGGGACACAUAUUCGCCGUUUUUAUACAUCUACUUAAAUCCAAAUAACUGCAGCUUUAAACAAUAUUUUUCAAAUCAAUUUCAUUAUAGACGGCAAUAGCAGACAUUUCAUAUGUGUACAAAACUAAAAUUUAGGGCGAUCAGUCAAAGAAUUACUAAGAAAUACUACUUUGAAAUUGGGUUUUUCAUUUAUGAAAUUGGCCGAAAAUCGUUGUCCAUUUUUUGGUUCUAUGCGGUAAGUGACGCAAUUUUGUCGUAGUUUAAAAAAUAAUCAUAUUUGUUAUAAAAAUUUAAUUUACCGGGAUAUUUCUUUCAUUUCAGCCAUCCUUUGAAGUUUUUACACCUCAAAAUCAUCAAACGGCGAAAUUGUGUCCCCGGCGAAUAUGUGCACCCC
Molecule: long non-coding RNA, 443 nt
Filed under: Mytilus galloprovincialis (Mediterranean mussel)
Lineage: Eukaryota; Metazoa; Mollusca; Bivalvia; Mytilida; Mytilidae
Source: RNAcentral